Molecule: non-coding RNA, 1356 nt
Organism: Oryza sativa Japonica Group (Japanese rice)
Lineage: Eukaryota; Viridiplantae; Streptophyta; Magnoliopsida; Poales; Poaceae
Source: RefSeq, a predicted model, not a curated record
CAGCAGCCCAACCCACUACACAAGCCGCCGAGGGUUUAGGGAGACCUCCUCCAAUCCGUGACGGUAGCCGCCGCCUGCCCCAACUGCGUCGCUGGCUGCCUACCUCUUGCCGCGCCUGCACUGCCGGCCGUCGCCACCAGUUCCACCUGCACCAUCUAGCCGCCACCACCGCGCAAGUGAGCACAAGUGAGGCUGGGCGCUGCAGGGGUGCACCUCGCCGUCGAGGGGAUCAGAGGCCGGCUGGAUCUUUUGAUCUGCCCAUGUCGACCCGAUGACCCCAACAUCAUCUCCAUGUCACCACCUAUUCUCCUCGCUAGUCGCCGCCCUAAUUGGGAGGUGUUGCACGGCAAAAACUGACGCACAGGGCUUGUUAGCAGUUACUAGAUUAUUGUCUGGUAACAUCGUAAUUUUUUCGGAGACAUCUUGCUGUACUAAAGGAUUUCAAGAGAAUGUUUUUUUAUGAGAACUCGAGAUAAUUGAAUAGCAAUGGAGAGGCAGCUUGAUCUGGCAAGAACUGAAGGGUGCAGUACUGCACAAGACAGUAACCUCUUUUUUAUGCCUUUCUCCAUUCAGCAAAAUUCAUGUUACAUAACCGAUUGAAUGAUCUUGGACACAAAUAAUGGGAGCAUCAUUUUGUUCUCAGAUUAUUCUAUUGGUUAUAUAUUUUGACAUUUUCAGUUCAAAUCUAUUUUAGUAUGAAUCAAGAUGAAUAUACUCCAUUGGCUUGACUAAAUUAUAGUCAGGUAGUAUUCCAAGUUUUCAUUAGUUCCUACAAGAUCGGUCAUUGAUGGGCUUGAUUUUUUGCCCGCAAGGCCACAACAAGUUGGAUGCAACACAAGAGCUAUUUCCAUAUCUGUAAAGCUAUUGCUGACACACUAUCUAAAUUGGAAUCAUAUGAAACUAGAUGGUGACAAAGCAUUCCUCCUUCCUUAAACAAAAUUUCUAGAUCAAUGGUGAGACAGAUGAGACUGGUGCAUCUAAAGACAAUACCUGCGAAUGUUGAUGGGAUCAUCAUCGUAUAACAAAGGAAUUUAUCCACUGCACCUCCAAGCACAUACUUAUAGAUCAAGUGUUUAAUUUUGAUAGACAUCAAGAUGUUGGUUCUGUUUGAAUGACUUAAUUAUUUAGCUGGAUGCGGUGAACAAAUUUUUAUUAUGUAUUGCAAUGAAUAAAUGUGGUUGAUUGUCUACGAUUGGUCAGAAUAUAAUGUAAAUGUUAUAUCCAUAUGGUGAUAAACAUGGAUGUUAAUUCCAAGAGCCGGUGCAGACUGCAAUUAUGUUUCUCUACUAUCAACAAUAGUGUACCGUAUUGUGUACCAUGUGGUGAUUAAAAAUUGGAUGUUAACGGAGGUGGUUA